This is a non-coding RNA of Cinara cedri, 93 nucleotides long. The record is from the annotation of a GenBank genome assembly. NCBI's taxonomy places the organism in Eukaryota, Metazoa, Arthropoda, Insecta, Hemiptera, Aphididae.
AGGAUCAUACUUCGCAGGAUCAUUUCUGUAGUGUGCAUCGUCCUUUCCAGGUGCAUAUCUGGAGUUGUCAUCAGCCACGACAACAUUAUUUGU